CCCCAGACUCCUACGGGAGGCAGCAGUGGGGAAUAUUGCACAAUGGGCGCAAGCCUGAUGCAGCCAUGCCGCGUGUAUGAAGAAGGCCUUCGGGUUGUAAAGUACUUUCAGCGGGGAGGAAGGUGUUGUGGUUAAUAACCACAGCAAUUGACGUUACCCGCAGAAGAAGCACCGGCUAACUCCGUGCCAGCAGCCGCGGUAAUACGGAGGGUGCAAGCGUUAAUCGGAAUUACUGGGCGUAAAGCGCACGCAGGCGGUCUGUCAAGUCGGAUGUGAAAUCCCCGGGCUCAACGUGGGAACUGCCUUUGAAACUGGCAAACUGGAGUGUGUGAGAGGAUAGUGGAAUUCCAGGUGUAGGAGUGAAAUCCGUAGAUAUCUGGAGGAACAUCAGUGGCGAAGGCGACUAUCUGGCACAUAACUGACGCUGAGGAGCGAAAGCGUGGGUAGCAAACAGGAUUAGAUACCCCAGUAGG
This 473-nucleotide ribosomal RNA is filed under the name uncultured bacterium. Its description in RNAcentral is "bacterial SSU rRNA". It matches the Rfam family "Bacterial small subunit ribosomal RNA", at positions 329 to 794 of the family's 1533-position model. The record is from RNAcentral.